UACGUAGGGGGCAAGCGUUGUCCGGAAUCAUUGGGCGUAAAGCGCGUGUAGGCGGCCCGGUAAGUCCGCUGUGAAAGUCGGGGGCUCAACCCUCGAAUGCCGGUGGAUACUGUCGGGCUAGAGUGCGGAAGAGGCGAGUGGAAUUCCUGGUGUAGCGGUGAAAUGCGCAGAUAUCAGGAGGAACACCGGUGGCGAAGGCGGGUCUCUGGGCCGUAACUGACGCUGAGGAGCGAAAGCGUGGGGAGCGAACAGG
Molecule: ribosomal RNA, 253 nt
Filed under: uncultured bacterium
Lineage: Bacteria
Description: partial 16S ribosomal RNA
Rfam family: Bacterial small subunit ribosomal RNA
Source: RNAcentral